UGUAAAUAUUGCAAGCCGAAAAUGAUUCGAAUGCCGUAGUCUCUCGUUUGAAGUUUCUGCUUCUGUUUUAAAGGGACAGUCGCAUUCUCCGAGGUCAAUUUCGAAACUAAUGCGAAUUCUAAUUCCUUGCCGACCACUGAAAUGGGCCCGAAAAUACCAUUUCGAUCCGCGGCGUACUUUUCGCGCAAUCCGAUGAAAAGGAAACUGGAAUCCUUGCACCCUCGCUCUCUAAAAGUGGGAGCAAACGUCACCCGGAUAAGGCCAAUCAGCGCGCGCCCAGGGUAAAUGCGAGCCGCGCGCCUGUUUGCCGAUCGCGAAGCGAAGGCGAAGGUAGCAAACAUGGAGUCUGAAAACGAGAGUGAUGUUUCUCUGUCGGGGGGAGAUUCUGACGAACAUGUAAGCGGUAGCGGCUACGAGUUAAUGCUGUAUGAUGACCCAUACUCUACGGACCCAAUGCCUCUGGAACCCGCCGACCAUGCACGAGAUGUGGCUGCGGCUAACCCGCGGGAUGACAUUUUCAGGUGACGUAUCUCUUUGCAUGGUUGCCGUCGGAUGUGCGAAAUAGUUUAGAAUGUUGAAAUUGUUGUCGGCAGGUGUGUGUGUGUGUGGAGUCUGCGACCCACAGGAGCCCGACGAGCGCCUGUGUUGCCAUUCUGUUGCCAGGGUGGUAGAAAUGUGCAACAGUGCCGUCGUGCAGUGCAUAACACAACACCCAUUACUCAGGGACAUCUGCCUCCGUAGAGAGCUUCUAGUGGUGUACGCGCCUCAAUUCUGCCGCUAUGAUCAACAUUUUAGGCGACUCAAUCCCCAGGACCACAGGAGACCCCGGAACUAAGAAAGGAAUGCACAGGCUUUGAACUCCAAGGUUGGGAUAGUGUCUGUUCUUCUGUUCUGGCCAUUGUCUUCCCAACACUGUGGGAGAUUUGGCAGCUGCCUAAGGUUCACGGCAUACUCGUCAUUCACGAGAUGGGUCUGGGGAUACCUUGGUCCAAGGAACAGACGACAGGUUCCUGGAUGCGUUGUCCGAGCCAUCAGGAGGGAGUUCCCAUCUUCGUCCUAUCAAGGCUAUCAGCGUUAGGACCAUCGAAGCAAGGGUGUCUUGACAAGAGAGACAAGCUGGUGCAUACUGAUAGCUGAAACUGGAGACAUGUAGUGGCAAGACAUAAAUUUUGCUGACAUAGGCACACUUUGUGUAGAUGAGCCCUUGGUCAUCCCCCUUGCCUGCCA
Molecule: long non-coding RNA, 1227 nt
Organism: Ornithodoros turicata
Lineage: Eukaryota; Metazoa; Arthropoda; Arachnida; Ixodida; Argasidae
Exons: 3
Source: RefSeq, a predicted model, not a curated record